Molecule: unclassified non-coding RNA, 345 nt
Filed under: soil metagenome
Description: partial contains 5.8S ribosomal RNA, internal transcribed spacer 2, and large subunit ribosomal RNA
Rfam family: 5.8S ribosomal RNA (bases 1-119)
Source: RNAcentral
GAUGAAGAACGUAGCGAAAUGCAAUACGUAAUGUGAAUUGCAAAUUCAGUGAAUCAUCGAGUCUUUGAACGCACAUUGCGCCCCCUGGUAUUCCGGGGGGCAUGCCUGUCCGAGCGUCAUUGCUGCCCUCAAGCACGGCUUGUGUGUUGGGCCCCGUCCUCCGAUUCCGGGGGACGGGCCCGAAAGGCAGCGGCGGCACCGCGUCCGGUCCUCGAGCGUAUGGGGCUUUGUCACCCGCUCUGUAGGCCCGGCCGGCGCUUGCCGAUCAACCCAAAUUUUUAUCCAGGUUGACCUCGGAUCAGGUAGGGAUACCCGCUGAACUUAAGCAUAUCAAUAAGCGGAGGA